Betta splendens (Siamese fighting fish) is the source of this 3308-nucleotide long non-coding RNA. The record is from Ensembl. Lineage: Eukaryota; Metazoa; Chordata; Actinopteri; Anabantiformes; Osphronemidae.
GUCACAUUGUAGAUGAGCAAGGUAUUAGACCAGACAGCAAGAAAAUAGAUGCCAUACUAACCAUCAAGCCACCGCAAAACACCACGGAGCUCAAACAUGUGCUAGGUAUGGCGCAUACCUAGCACAUGGACGUUACUUACCUAACUUAGCAGAUGUAACUUGUCAUGAUCUGUGUUUUUGUUUCUAGUUGUAUCAUGUUUCACGCCAUGUCCUGUGUAACACUACUUCCUGUUUUAUUUUGGUAGUCUCCUGGUUUCUGUUCCUGCUUUAGCUUUACUUCCGGUUUUUGUCUUGUCACAGCUGUCCCUGCUCCACCUGAUCGUUAUCCUCACCUGCACUGUAUCAGUUAAUUACUCAUCUGUGUAUUUAGUCACCUCCUGUUCCCGUAGUCACUUGCCAGAUUGUUGAGUUGAGAAUGUGUUGAGCGUCCCUAGUUUCCUGAGUUCCCUGAGUGUUCGUGUUCUCGUGUCUUAUUCCUGUUCGCACCGUGUAUCCUGCCCGACACUGGAUUAUCUACUGACCGUGAGUUUUUGCCUGUUCCCUGCCUGUACUUUUGCCGAGCCUUUUUGUGUUUGACCUGGACCGUAUGACCCUGCCUUGAGCAAUAAACCUUUUGUUGAUUAUAACCUUCGCCUCCGUGCUGUGCAUGUGGGUCCGCCGCCAGCCCGAGUCCCUGACAGAACAAUCUGGCCAAACUUGGACCCAGCCAGCACUUAGCCUCCGGUCAGGUCAGUGACUGUUUUUUUCCUUGUUUUUACGGCGAAUAUACUCUCCCGCGGAAGUAUGAAGUUUGACGAAUUAAGCGACGCGCGCUGCACCACGCCGGCGCCGGUCGCACCGCCGAUGGUUUCGGUUUCCUCCUCUCCGCCUCGUCGGAUCGUCGUGCCUGCACCAACCUGCCCAGCUCCAUGGUUGUUCCCCUGGGAGGAUUUCCUGCUCUCACGCGGUCCUCAGUCUCCAGUCCAACCGCGCGCUGCUCAGUCUCCAGUUCAGCCGCGCGCUGCUCAGUCUCCAGUUCAGCCGCGCGCUGCUCAGUCUCCAGGUCAGCCGCGCGCUGCUCAGUCUCCAGGUCAGCCGCGCGCUGCUCAGCCUCCAGUUCAGCCGCGCGCUGCUCAGUCUCCAGUUCAGCCGCGCGUUGCCCAGACCCCAGUUCAGUCGUGUUUUCCCCAGUCUCCAGCCCAAGCUCCAGACGCCGCGGUCCCGUUUCACCAUGCGGGUCCCGGUACAGAGGUCCGGUCCACACCGCGCCCAGCGCCUCAAACGACGGACAGUCGCAGCUGCUCCGGACGGCGACGGCGGCGGCGCGGUUCCAGGAUUCCGGGUCCCGCGGUCUCGGUCAUGGGGACCGAGCCGUCUCCUUCUCCGACAGAGGAGCCCCUUGAUUCUCUGACUGACUGUGUCCCUCUGAUAUCAGGCAUCCCAGACAGCGUCGCCCGACGGGUCCACCUCCUCUGCUCUCCUCCAGUUGCGUUUCUCUUCGCCCACCUCAUGAACACCGCCGAUUCGGCAGCAGACCAGGGCGCGAGAGAACAACUGUUCACGGAAGCAGCCGCUCUCGUCCUGAGGGAGCCUGUCCUGCGUGAGGCCCUGCAACUCCCGGGCCUGCAGCCAGCGGCCGCUUCAUGUCCCACCUCUCAGUCAGUUCAGCCUCGCCAUGCUCAUGCCCUGGUGCAGCCCUGUCGCCUCCAGGUCCCAGCCCAGUCGAACCUAGUCCAGACCCCAGAUCAGCCGUGUGUUGCCCAGACCCCAGAUCAGCCGUGUGUCGCCCAGACCCCAGAUCAGCCGUGUGUCGCCCAGACCCCAGAUCAGCCGUGUGUCGCCCAGACCCCAGAUCAGUCGUGUGUCGCCCAGACCCCAGAUCAGUCGUGUGUCGCCCAGACCCCAGAUCAGUCCUGUGUUGCCCAGACCCCAGAUCAGUCGUGUGUUGCCCAGACCCCAGUUCAGUCGUGUGUUGCCCAGACCCCAGUUCCGUCCUUGUCCCCGUCAGAGGGCACCGUCCGUCUGACGGCUGUUAGCCCCACCCAAUCAGGCCCGACGUCUCCCCCGUCGAGCUCGGCAGCUGUAAGCUGUCAUGCCAGCUCCGGAGGGGACGCCGUUCCAGUCCCUGUCGGCCAUGUUGCGGCCGUUCCAGUCCCGGUCGGCCAUGUUGCGGCCGUUCCAGUUCCUGUCGGCCAUGUUGAGGUCGUUCCAGUUCUUGUCGGCCAUGUUGAGGUCGUUCCAGUUCCUGUCGGCCAUGUUGAGGUCGUUCCAGUUCCUGUCGGCCAUGUUGAGGUCGUUCCAGUUCCUGUCGGCCAUGUUGAGGUCGUUCCAGUUCCUGUCGGCCAUGUUGAGGUCGUUCCAGUUCCUGUCGGCCAUGUUGAGGUCGUUCCAGUUCCUGUUCCUGUCGGCCAUGUUGAGGUCAUUCCAGUUCCUGUCCCUGUCGACCAAAUUGAGGUCGUUCCAGUUCCUGUCCCUGUCGACCAAGUUAAGGUCGUUCCAGUUCCUGUCCCUGUCGGCCAAGUUGAGGUCGUUCCCGUUCCUGUCCCUGUCGGCCCAGUUGAGGUCGUUCCAGUUCCUGUCCCUGUCGGCCAAGUUGAGGGCGUUCCCGUCGGCCAAGUUGAGGGCGUUCCCGUAGGCCAAGUUGAGGGCGUUCCCGUAGGCCAAGUUGAGGGCGUUCCCGUAGGCCAAGUUGAGGGCGUUCCCGUAGGCCAAGUUGAGGGCGUUCCCGUAGGCCAAGUAGAGGUCACCCCUGUCUCUGAUCCCGUUCCCGUCGGCCCUGUAGCGGUCGUUCCAGUCCCCGUUCCUGUCGGCCCUGUAGCGGUCGUUCCAGCCCCCGUUCCUGUCGGCCCUGUAGCGGUCGUUCCAGCCCCCGUUCCUGUCGGCCCUGUAGCGGUCGUUCCAGCCCCCGUUCCUGUCGGCCCUGUAGCGGUCGUUCCAGCCCCCGUUCCUGUCGGCCCUGUAGCGGUCGUUCCAGUCCCCGUUCCUGUCGGCCCUGUAGCGGUCGUUCCAGUCCCCGUCAUCCUUGGAGCCGCAGCUCCUGCGCACCUCCAGGAGGAGGUCGCGCCAGCCGCAGUUCCUGCGCACCUCCAGGAGGAGGUCGCGCCAGCCGCAGCAGUUCCUGCGCACCUCCAGGAGGAGGUCGCGCCAGCCGCAGCAGUUCCUGCGCACCUCCAGGAGGAGGUCGCGCCAGCCGCAGUUCCUGCGCACCUCCAGGAGGAGGUCGCGCCAGCCGCAGUUCCUGCGCACCUCCAGGAGGAGGUCGCGCCAGCCGCAGUUCCUGCGCACCUCCAGGAGGAGGCCGCGCCAGUUGCAGUUCCUGCGCACCUCCA